UGGCUCAGGACGAACGCUGGCGGCGUGCUUAACACAUGCAAGUCGAGCGAUGAAGCUUCUCGGAAGUGGAUAGCGGCGGACGGGUGAGUAACACGUGGGUAACCUGCCUCAUAGAGGGGAAUAGCCUUCCGAAAGGAAGAUUAAUACCGCAUAAGAUUGUAAUAUCGCAUGAUAUAGCAAUUAAAGGAGUAAUCCGCUAUGAGAUGGACCCGCGUCGCAUUAGCUAGUUGGUGAGGUAACGGCUCACCAAGGCGACGAUGCGUAGCCGACCUGAGAGGGUGAUCGGCCACAUUGGGACUGAGACACGGCCCAGACUCCUACGGGAGGCAGCAGUGGGGAAUAUUGCACAAUGGGGGAAACCCUGAUGCAGCCAACGCCGCGUGAGUGAUGACGGUCUUCGGAUUGUAAAGCUCUGUCUUCAGGGACGAUAAUGACGGUACCUGAGGAGGAAGCCACGGCUAACUACGUGCCAGCCGCUGC
This 480-nucleotide ribosomal RNA is filed under the name uncultured bacterium. Its description in RNAcentral is "bacterial SSU rRNA". It matches the Rfam family "Bacterial small subunit ribosomal RNA", at positions 20 to 518 of the family's 1533-position model. The record is from RNAcentral.